AGGGCACUAAGUGGAUGCCUUGACACAAGAUACCGAUGAAGGACGUGGAAGACUGCGAUAAGUUUCGGGGAGCUGUCAUACAAGCUUUGAUCCGGAAAUUUCCGAAUGGGGAAACCCAGCUAGAGUCAUGUCUAGUUACCGAUACCUGAAUAUAUAGGGUAUUCGAGAGGGAACCUGCUGAACUGAAACAUCUUAGUAGGCAGAGGAAAAGAAAGUAAAUAACGAUUCCCAGAGUAGUGGCGAGCGAAAUGGGAAGAGCCCAAACCUUUUAAGUUUUUGCCUGGUAAUUUAUUACCUGGCAAAUAAGUUGACAGACGAAUACUUAUAAGGGGUUGUGAGUUAACAAAUGACCAUGAAAGAGGUCUGGAACUUGUUCCAGCACUCUUUUAUGCGAGGAGUUGCCUGUCAGCGCUCCGUAAGGUAAGAAAUCGGCUUUGCUAGCAGAAUAAUUUGGAAAGAUUAGCCAAAGACUGUGACAGCCAGGUACGCGAAAGCGAAGCUGACCUUAUAUUUGUUUUCUCGAGUAGGUCGGGGCACGAGAAACCCUGAUUGAAUCCGGCAGGACCACCUGCCAAGGCUAAACAUAUCUUGUGAUCGAUAGUGAACAAGUACCGCGAGGGAAAGGUGAAAAGAACCCCGGGAGGGGAGUGAAAUAGAUCCUGAAACUUAGUGCCUACAAGGAGUCGGAGCAGAUUUAUUCUGUGACGGCGUGCUUUUUGUAGAACGAUCCAGCGAGUUAAUUUGCAGUGCAAGCUUAAGCCAUUUGGCGGAGGCAUAGUGAAAGCGAGCCUGAAUAGGGCGAUUUAGUACUGCGUAUUAGACCCGAAACCGGGUGACCUAACCAUGGCCAGGCUGAAGCGUAGGUAAUACUACGUGGAGGGCCGCACCGUAGAGCGUUGUAAAGCUCCCGGAUGAGCUGUGGUUAGCGGUGAAAUGCCAAUCGAACCCGGAGAUAGCUGGUUCUCCUCGAAAUAGCUUUAGGGCUAGCGUCGUGUAAUAGUGCGCGGGGGUAGAGCUCUGUAAAGGACUGGGGCUCGCAAGAGUACCCACCCUUAACAAACUACGAAUACCGCGUACCGUAUCACGGCAGUUAGAACGUCGGGGCUAAGCUCGGCGCUCGAAAGGGAAACAGCCCAGACCAUCAUCUAAGGUCCCUAAGUCUACACUCAGUGGGAAACAAGGUGAGAUUUCUUAAACAGCGAGGAUGUUGGCUUAGAAGCAGCCAUUCAUUUAAAGAGUGCGUAACAGCUCACUCGUCAAGAGAUCUUGCGUGGAAAAUGUAACGGGGCUUAAGUGUAGCACCGAAGAUAUGGAUUUGUACUUUUAGUACAAGUGGUAGAGGAGCGUUCCUAUCUGCUUUGAAGCUGAACCGUAAGGUUUGGUGGAGCGUUAGGAAGUGAGAAUGCUGGAAUGAGUAACUUCAAGACAGGUGAGAAUCCUGUCGGCCGAAAGAGCAAGGUUUCCUGAGCCAUGGUAAUCAUCUCAGGGUUAGUCGGGCCUAAGCCGAGGCGCAUAGCGUAGGCGAUGGACAACGGAUUAAUAUUUCCGUACCGGUAAUACUUUGUACAACAUGCACGGCAUGGUAGCUUGAGCGGACUCAUGGUUAUGUCCGUCUAAGUGUCUAGUCUGAGUUUACUCAGGUGAAGCACGAAUGCGAGUGUCCCUCGAGGACGCGAGUCAAGUGAGCCAAGCUGGCUAGAAAAGAUGUUGUACGCGUGGGUAUUGCCGCCCGUACCGCAAACCAACACAGGUGCUCAGGUCGAGUAGACCAAGGCUUACGAGAGAACCUUCGUUAAGGAACUCGGCAAUACAGCGACCGUAACUUCGGGAUAAGGUCUGCCUGGAUAUGCCGCAUUGUUUCUAAGAGAUAACGAGUAACGAUAACAAUAUGCGAAGUCAAAAGUUGAGAGAAAGAUACUCUUUAGAGAUAAUGCGGCAUAUCUGGGCCGCAGCUAAGGAGCCCAUGCGACUGUUUACCAAAAACACAGGUCUCUGCUAACACGAAAGUGGAUGUAUAGGGGCUGACACCUGCCCAGUGCCGGAAGGUUAAGGAGAGAGGUUCACGCUUUGAACUGAAGCCCCGGUGAACGGCGGCGGUAACUAUAACCGUCCUAAGGUAGCGAAAUUCCUUGUCGGGUAAGUUCCGACCCGCACGAAUGGUGUAACGAUAUGGGCACUGUCUCAACGAAGGCCUCGGUGAAAGUGCAUUGGCGGUAAAGAUGCCGUCUGUCCGUACCAGGACGAAAAGACCCCGUGGAGCUUUACUAUAGCUUUACAUUGAAUCGGGUUGCAACAUGUGUAGCAUAGGUGGGAGACUUUGAAGCGGAUGCGCUAGCAUUCGUGGAGUCACCGGUGAAAUACCACCCUUGUUGUAACCUUAUUCUUACGCUAACCGUUAUCCGGUUAGCGGACCGUGUAUGGUGGGUAGUUUAACUGGGGCGGUUGCCUCCUAAAGAGUAGCGGAGGCGUUCAAAGGUUGGCUAGCUUCGGAUGGAAAUCGAAGUGAUAGUGCAAACGCAUAAGCCAGCUUGACUGUGAGGGGUACAUCCCAAACAGGGACGAAAGUCGGAGUUAGUGACCCGCUGUUCCGUACAUUUAUGUACAUGAACGUGGGAUCGACAGCGUAAACGGAUAAAAGUUACCCCGGGGAUAACAGGCUUAUCGCGCCCAAUAGUUCACAUAGACGGCGCGGUUUGGCACCUCGAUGUCGGCUCAUCACAUCCUGGAGGGGGAGCACCUUCCAAGGGUUCGGCUGUUCGCCGAUUAAAGUGGUACGCGAGCUGGGUUCAGAACGUCGUGAGACAGUUCGGUUUAUAUCCGGUACGGACGUUAGGAAAUUUGAGAGGAUCUGCCCCUAGUACGAGAGGACCGGGGUGGACGAACCUCUGGUGUAUCGAUUGUUCUACCAAGGGCAUUGUCGAGUAGCUAAGUUCGGACCAGAUAAGCGCUGAAAGCAUAUUAAGCGCGAAACUGACCUCAAGAUUAGAUUUCCCUAUGAGGACACAGAAAGACUAUCUGUUUGAUAGGCGCAAGGUGGAAGUGCAGUAAUGUAUGGAGCCGAAGCGUACUAAUAGUCCCAUCGACUUUUUA
Molecule: ribosomal RNA, 3090 nt
Filed under: metagenome
Description: bacterial LSU rRNA
Rfam family: Bacterial large subunit ribosomal RNA
Source: RNAcentral